RNAcentral lists this ribosomal RNA (391 nucleotides) under uncultured bacterium. RNAcentral's name for it is "bacterial SSU rRNA". It matches the Rfam family "Bacterial small subunit ribosomal RNA", at positions 62 to 436 of the family's 1533-position model. The record is from RNAcentral.
UCGAGCGAACGUAUUUGCGGAAGUUUUCGGAUGGAAGCGGAUAUGACUUAGCGGCGGACGGGUGAGUAACGCGUGGAUAACCUGCCUCAUACAGGGGGAUAACAGUUAGAAAUGACUGCUAAUACCGCAUAAGCGCACAGGACCGCAUGGUCCGGUGUGAAUAACUCCGGUGGUAUGGGAUGGAUCCGCGUCUGAUUAGCUGGUUGGUGAGGUAACGGCCCACCAAGGCGACGAUCAGUAGCCGACCUGAGAGGGUGGCCGGCCACAUUGGGACUGAGACACGGCCCAAACUCCUACGGGAGGCAGCAGUGGGGAAUAUUGCACAAUGGGGGAAACCCUGAUGCAUCAACGCCGCGUGAGUGAAGAAGUAUUUCGGUAUGUAAAGCUCUAU